This 472-nucleotide ribosomal RNA is filed under the name uncultured bacterium. RNAcentral's name for it is "bacterial SSU rRNA". It matches the Rfam family "Bacterial small subunit ribosomal RNA", at positions 328 to 793 of the family's 1533-position model. The record is from RNAcentral.
CGCUAUCACUCCUACGGGAGGCAGCAGUGGGGAAUAUUGCACAAUGGGCGCAAGCCUGAUGCAGCCAUGCCGCGUGUGUGAAGAAGGCCUUCGGGUUGUAAAGCACUUUCAGUCGUGAGGAAGGUAGUGCAGUUAAUAGCUGCAUUAUUUGACGUUAGCGACAGAAGAAGCACCGGCUAACUCCGUGCCAGCAGCCGCGGUAAUACGGAGGGUGCGAGCGUUAAUCGGAAUUACUGGGCGUAAAGCGCAUGCAGGCGGCCUGUUAAGUCAGAUGUGAAAGCCCGGGGCUUAACCUCGGAAUUGCAUUUGAAACUGGCAGGCUAGAGUCUUGUAGAGGGGGUAGAAUUUCAGGUGUAGCGGUGAAAUGCGUAGAGAUCUGAAGGAAUACCAGUGGCGAAGGCGGCCCCCUGGACAAAGACUGACGCUCAGAUGCGAAAGCGUGGGGAGCAAACAGGAUUAGAUACCCUGGUAG